CAAACAUACAAAGCAGCACACACACAAGCACAUUUAGUUCGCCCGCAUAUAAAGCUCACACACAUACACCAACAAAGAACAGCUGAUGACGUUUGUUAUUUUGUGCGCGUCUCUUAUUUUUUAAGGCGCCCCUCAGUACGUGUGAGUGUAUGUGAGCUCCCCAUAUCCGCAACGCAUCGGUAUUCACACAUACACACCUGAUAGCCUCUCUCCAAAAACAAUAACAAAGUAACCGUUUGACGAGUGGAACGGAGAGUGCAGCCGUCUCUGUUGCACCUGCUGCACUCGCUCAGCUGUUAUGGCUUUGUUCUUGUUAGGGAGAGAAUCGCAAAGAGUGCAGUUCAAUUCAUGGAACGCGAUUUGAAAACCUUAGUUUUUGGAUCCCAAGACACACAUUGUUAUAAAUAAUAAAAUUUUUGGAUUUAGAUUUUGAAUCUAAAUAAAAAAAUGGAAAACAUUUUUGAAAGCAUUCAAAACAGAAAAGGUAUGUAUUAAAGUAACUAUUUUUUAAUUUUCUAAGAACAUUAAUACCCUGAGAUGAUGUACAAGAUGAAAAUAGUUGAAAAUUCAAUAUAAGGAGUUUGAAAUCGUAAAUUAUAAUAGUUCAUGUUUUUAGCCUGCUUCAGUUCAACCCUCUCCGUCUUUUUUUGCAACAAGUUGAUCCACAAAUUGCACUAUUAGUGAAUGUGUGCGUAUUCUACAUACAUUAUGUACACAUAUACAUACAUGUGUAUGGAAAUACACCCCUUCCUCGCCCACACGAAACCUAUUGCCGUGCUUUUUUAUUGCAUAACCGCAUUUAACAGUUUUGCUCGAACGGUUGCCGAUUCGGUUUGUUUGCAAUUUGCAUUUUUGCCCAAGCCAGGGGCAACAACAAUGUUAUUGUUUUUCAAGGUCACAUACACAUACAGAGCGAACGGCAAAACAACAACCCACCCACCGCCACCCCCUAAAAUUCACCACCCCCCCCACCCGCUGGUUCAGGUUUGGAGGUUCACUUCAGUUCACUCUUCUCUAAUUUUUCGGCUGUGAGAGCGACACAAGCGACGCACCAAACAGGCUAUUUCACACACACAGUCCGCCAAAUACCAUCCGCCCUCGGUACAGUGAACCAUCGGUUGACCUACUGGGUAUUUGCUUAUAAGUUGUACCUUUCGUCUUGUUGCCCAAAAUAAAUAACGUUUCAAAAAUAAAAAA
Molecule: long non-coding RNA, 1197 nt
Organism: Drosophila yakuba
Lineage: Eukaryota; Metazoa; Arthropoda; Insecta; Diptera; Drosophilidae
Exons: 2
Source: RefSeq, a predicted model, not a curated record